UGGGGGAUAUUGGACAAUGGGGGGAACCCUGAUCCAGCGACGCCGCGUGAGUGAAGAAGUAUUUCGGUAUGUAAAGCUCUGUCAGCAGGGAAGAAAUCAUGACGGUACCUGACCAAGAAGCCCCGGCUAACUACGUGCCAGCAGCCGCGGUAAUACGUAGGGGGCAAGCGUUAUCCGGAAUUACUGGGUGUAAAGGGAGCGUAGACGGUUAAGUAAGUCUGGAGUGAAAGGCUGGGGCCCAACCCCGGGACUGCUCUGGAAACUAUUUAACUUGAGUGCAGGAGAGGUAAGCGGAAUUCCUAGUGUAGCGGUGAAAUGCGUAGAUAUUAGGAGGAACACCAGUGGCGAAGGCGGCUUACUGGACUGUAACUGACGUUGAGGCUCGAAAGCGUGGGGAGCAAACAGG
This 406-nucleotide ribosomal RNA is filed under the name uncultured bacterium. RNAcentral describes it as "bacterial SSU rRNA". It matches the Rfam family "Bacterial small subunit ribosomal RNA", at positions 355 to 776 of the family's 1533-position model. The record is from RNAcentral.